UUUUUACGGGAGGCAGCAGUGGGGAAUUUUGGACAAUGGGCGCAAGCCUGAUCCAGCCAUGCCGCGUGUCUGAAGAAGGCCUUCGGGUUGUAAAGGACUUUUGUCAGGGAAGAAAAGGACAGGGUUAAUACCCCUGUCUGAUGACGGUACCUGAAGAAUAAGCACCGGCUAACUACGUGCCAGCAGCCGCGGUAAUAAAA
RNAcentral lists this ribosomal RNA (200 nucleotides) under uncultured bacterium. Its description in RNAcentral is "partial 16S ribosomal RNA". It matches the Rfam family "Bacterial small subunit ribosomal RNA", at positions 335 to 528 of the family's 1533-position model. The record is from RNAcentral.